UAGGGAAUAUUGCUUAAUGGGCGAAAGCCUGAAGCAGCAACGCCGCGUGUGUGAAGAAGGCCUUCGGGUUGUAAAACACUUUUUGAGGGGAUGAGGAAGGACAGUACCCUCAGAAUAAGCCUCGGCUAACUACGUGCCAGCAGCCGCGGUAAAACGUAGGAGGCGAGCGUUAUCCGGAUUUACUGGGCGUAAAGCGCGUGCAGGCGGCACGGCAAGUUGGAUGUGAAAGCUCCCGGCUUAACUGGGAGAGGUCGUUCAAAACUGCCGAGCUAGAGUGCGGGAGAGGGAGGUGGAAUUCCGGGUGUAGUGGUGAAAUGCGUAGAUAUCCGGAGGAAUACCAGUGGCGAAAGCGGCCUCCUGGUCCGCAACUGACGCGCAGACGCGAAAGCUAGGGUAGCAAACG
Molecule: ribosomal RNA, 403 nt
Filed under: uncultured bacterium
Lineage: Bacteria
Description: bacterial SSU rRNA
Rfam family: Bacterial small subunit ribosomal RNA
Source: RNAcentral